CAUCGUCCUCCCCCGCACCCCCCUCUUCCCUUCCAAACAAUAUUUUCUCCGUUGUUGAACACACAAAAGCAAAAUAAAAAAUAAAAAAUAAUAACCUCCUUCUUUUUCUUCUUUUUCACUUAUCUCUUAAAAACUUUUGAGUUCAGUCUAUAAGUCUCCAUCCAACAAUGACUUCCAUUUUCCAAGAAUUAUUUUUCUAUAUUCUAUUAGUAUUUUUCGAUUAAAAUAAAUUAGUUUAAAUUUAAUGUUAAAUUUAUUUGUGAUUAUAUCUUUGUAGGGAGUUCUGAAAAUGGUUCUUUCGGUAGCGGUGGGUUACCGGCGGCGAGGGAAUUCGAAAUGAACCAGAUGCCGACAGUGGGUAUGGAAGAAAUUCAUCGCUAAACAGUGUAGCGUCGUCGUUUCGUAUGGAAUUUGGGCUAUUCAAAAACUCUGUGAAUAUUAUCGACGUCGGAAAUAAACGGAGCUCCGACUCUACCGGCAGGAACAAUGGCGCCAUUAAUGGAGAAGAAGAUAUGGAGAAGAAGAUGAAGAUGGUGACUAUUUUUUUUUUAAAAAAUUAUUUUAUGUGUCUUUUUUUGAUUAGUUAGGUUUUUUUAUAUUUAAUAUUUUUGAUUAAUUAUGGCUUCUCACUCUCCAUUUGGAGAGUGUGUUACACAUGCCACGCCAUGUCAGUGCUACAUCAGCAAUUGCAUUCAAUUGAUACGUUUUGUGAAGGAAUAAAGGGUUCAAUAGGUACAUGACUUAA
This is a long non-coding RNA of Capsicum annuum, 745 nucleotides long. RefSeq lists it as uncharacterized. The record is from RefSeq and is a predicted model, not a curated record. Lineage: Eukaryota; Viridiplantae; Streptophyta; Magnoliopsida; Solanales; Solanaceae. The transcript is spliced from 2 exons.